GAAAUUUUCAAUUGCACAGUAUUCACCAAUAGCAAGAAAUCUUCAAUUGCACAGUAUUGUGCAAUAGCAAGAAAUUUUCAAUUGCACAAUAUUGCGCAAUAGCAAGAAAUCUUCAAUUGCACAGUAUUGUGCAAUAGCAAAUAUUUUCAAUUACUCAGUAUUGCACAAUAGCAAGAAAUAUCUAAUUGCAAUUUCAAUUGGAGUUAUCUUUCUU
Molecule: long non-coding RNA, 214 nt
Filed under: Mytilus galloprovincialis (Mediterranean mussel)
Lineage: Eukaryota; Metazoa; Mollusca; Bivalvia; Mytilida; Mytilidae
Source: RNAcentral